AUGCCAGUCGUGCGGCAGCGACAUAAACAAUCCUUCGGGUGCGCUUAUGGGCGGCCAGCGGCGGACGGGUGAGUAAUGCCUGGGAAUAUGCCCUGAUGUGGGGGAUAACCAUUGGAAACGAUGGCUAAUACCGCAUAAUCUCUUCGGAGCAAAGAGGGGGACCUUCGGGCCUCUCGCGUCAGGAUUAGCCCAGGUGAGAUUAGCUAGUUGGUGAGGUAAGAGCUCACCAAGGCGACGAUCUCUAGCUGGUCUGAGAGGAUGAUCAGCCUCUCUGGAACUGAGACACGGUCCAGACUCAUACGGGAGGCACCAGUGGGGAAUAUUGCACAAUGGGGGAAACCCUGAUGCAUCCAUGCCGCGUGUGUGAAGAAGGCCUUCGUGUUGUAAAGCACUUGCAGUCGUGAGGAACGCAUAUGCGUUAAUAGCGUAUGUCUGUGACGUGUACGACAGAAGAAGCACCGUGUAGCUCCGUGCCUUCAGUCCGUGUAGUACGGAGGGGGCGAGCGUUCAUCGGAAUUACUGGGC
This 525-nucleotide ribosomal RNA is filed under the name Photobacterium sp. RNAcentral's name for it is "bacterial SSU rRNA". It matches the Rfam family "Bacterial small subunit ribosomal RNA", at positions 55 to 559 of the family's 1533-position model. The record is from RNAcentral. Lineage: Bacteria; Pseudomonadati; Pseudomonadota; Gammaproteobacteria; Vibrionales; Vibrionaceae.